This 79-nucleotide transfer RNA is filed under the name Candidatus Nitrosopumilus sp. RNAcentral's name for it is "tRNA-Glu". It matches the Rfam family "tRNA". Rfam says of the family: Transfer RNA (tRNA) molecules are approximately 80 nucleotides in length. Their secondary structure includes four short double-helical elements and three loops (D, anti-codon, and T loops). RNAcentral also lists the same sequence under 1 other name. Lineage: Archaea; Thermoproteati; Nitrososphaerota; Nitrososphaeria; Nitrosopumilales; Nitrosopumilaceae. The record is from RNAcentral.
GUUCCAGUGGUGUAGACCGGUCAAGCAUUCUGCCCUUUCAAGGCAGAGAUCCCGGGUUCAAAUCCCGGCUGGAGCACCA